RNAcentral lists this ribosomal RNA (433 nucleotides) under uncultured bacterium. Its description in RNAcentral is "partial 16S ribosomal RNA". It matches the Rfam family "Bacterial small subunit ribosomal RNA", at positions 29 to 507 of the family's 1533-position model. The record is from RNAcentral.
AAUGAACGCUGGCGGCAUGCCUAAUACAUGCAAGUCGAACGAGACCUUCGGGUCUAGUGGCGUAUGGGUGCGUAACGCGUGGGAAGCUGACCUUAGGUUCGGAAUAACUACCCGAAAGGGGUGCUAAUACCGGAUAAUGUCUAAGGACCAAGGAUUUAUCGCAUUUGGGUGGGCCCGAGUUGGAUUAGCUAGUUCGUAGGGUAAAAGACUACGAAGGUGACGAUCCAUAGCUGGUCUGAGAGAAUGGUCAGCCACACUUGGAUUAAGACACGGCCCAGACUCCUACGGGAGGCAGCAAUGGGUAAUAUUGCACAGUGGGCUGAGUCCUGAUCCACCAAUGCCGGGUGAGUGAUGAUGUCCUGAAAGUUGUAAAGCGCUUUUACCCGUGAUGAUAAUGACAGUACCGAAACAGUAAGCUCCGGCUAACUCCGUG